RNAcentral lists this ribosomal RNA (450 nucleotides) under uncultured bacterium. RNAcentral describes it as "partial 16S ribosomal RNA". It matches the Rfam family "Bacterial small subunit ribosomal RNA", at positions 354 to 796 of the family's 1533-position model. The record is from RNAcentral.
GUGGGGAAUUUUGGACAAUGGGCGCAAGCCUGAUCCAGCAAUGCCGCGUGCAGGAAGAAGGCCUUCGGGUUGUAAACUGCUUUUGUACGGAACGAAACGGUCCUGGCUAAUAUCCGGGGCUAAUGACGGUACCGUAAGAAUAAGCACCGGCUAACUACGUGCCAGCAGCCGCGGUAAUACGUAGGGUGCGAGCGUUAAUCGGAAUUACUGGGCGUAAAGCGUGCGCAGGCGGUGCUGUAAGACAGGCGUGAAAGCCCCGGGCUCAACCUGGGAAUUGCGCUUGUGACUGCAGUGCUGGAGUGCGGCAGAGGGGGAUGGAAUUCCGCGUGUAGCAGUGAAAUGCGUAGAUAUGCGGAGGAACACCGAUGGCGAAGGCAAUCCCCUGGGCCUGCACUGACGCUCAUGCACGAAAGCGUGGGGAGCAAACAGGAUUAGAAACCCCGGUAGUCC